CUGUCAAACAGCUACUACCUUC
Molecule: non-coding RNA, 22 nt
Filed under: Rattus norvegicus (Norway rat)
Lineage: Eukaryota; Metazoa; Chordata; Mammalia; Rodentia; Muridae
Source: RNAcentral